CACCCUCAGCAUCCUCCUCGCCUUGUCUUUGCUUUUCUUUCCUCACUUCCCCUCCCUGCCCCAGGAUGUGGGGAGGAGAGGAAGUAGCAGGGGGCACCCUGCACAGUGGACGCCCAAUAAAUGCUAUUGACUGAAUGUUGUGCAGAUCUGAAGCCAAAACCGAAAUCCCCAGCUGCUUUAACAGAAGGCCAACGCAGCUCUGUUCCCCGUACGCACUGCCUGGCAAAAGACAACUGAUCUGGCAUGAAGGAGAGAGAAGAGGUGUAUGAGUGAAAUUCAUCUGACAAGAAAAAGAAAGCAAGAGGACAAAAUCAACAGCUGAUUUGGAUACCAUCAAGACACCUGAAACCUUAUCAUGAGCCAGAUGCCGAGGAAGAGACUCCAGGAGGAUCCCGAGGACCCCCCGGUUGCAGCCAUGUCGAGACUGAUGCUGAGGAGGACCCCAACUGUCACGAGCAACACCCGUCGAACACAGCCACACACCUGUGGACAGAUCAAGAAGCUGUCACAGAUGGCGGAAGAAAACCUGAGGAAAGCGGGACAAACAGUCACAAUGAAUAAUUUAAUCGUAGCUAUGAUAGCGGUUAUCACCACUGCCAUGAGUAUUCCUUCAGUAAGGACUGGCAAUAAUGCCUGGAUGCAAUCACUCUAUGACACAGUUACACAUGCUUUCUGAUCUCAGUAUUUACCAUAAUAAAUCUGCUCCUAUAAUUGAGGCAUACCACCCUCAAAAACCUAUUUGUAAACAGGAUUGGACCCAGUUAGAAAAAAUGAAUGUACUUGUUUAGGAAGAUUGCUUUGCAGAACAGGCAGAGGUGCUGCACAAUGAUUCCUAUGGAAUCAUUAUUAAUUGGUCCCCUAAGGGGAUGUUUAGCUUGAUUUGCACCUCUCAGUCUGCAUGCCAUGGUCACACUAUGUUCAGAUAAUCUGAACAAAAUGGUCAGAUGGUAGAAAUGAUAAGAAGUACAGCAAAAGUUCCUGUUAUCUGUAACCAUGAUGGUAUAGUGGCACCUCAACCUCAAAUGAUAUGGCCCGCUCUAGGAGCUAAACAUAAGGAUUUGUGGAAACUAUUAAAUGCAAACUUUGGGAAAGAAUAAAAAAGCAUCUAGAAGGACACUCUACAAACUUGUUUUUGGAUAUAGCAAAAUUAAAGAACAAAUGUUUAAAGCAACCCAGGGACACCUGACCUUAAUGCCAAGAACUGGAGUGCUUAAAGGAGCUGCAGACAAAUUAGCAGCUAGUAACCCAUUAAAAUGGAUAAAAACACUUGGAAGCUCUGUGAUUUCAAUGAUGACUAUGCUUUUAAUAUGUGUUGUUUUUGUAUAGUCUGCAGAUGCAGAUCCCGACUCCUGCGAGAAGUAGCUCACCGUGACAAAGCUGCCCUUGCUUUUAUCGAUUUGCACAUCAGAGAAGGGGGACAUGUUGGGAGCAAGCCCCCCAAAAUCUGGCCAUAAACUGGCCCCAAGACUGGCCAUAAACAAAAUCUCUGCAGCACUGUAACAUGUUCAUAAUGGCCCUAACACCCACACGCAAAGUUGUGGGUUUAUGGGAAUGAGGGCAAGGAACACCUGGCCCGCCCAAGGCAGAAAACUGCUUAAAGGCAUUCUUGAGCCACAAACAAUAGUUCCAGUGAUCUAUGCCUUAAAGGCAUGUUCCUGCUGCAGUUAACUAGCCCAACCUAUUCCUUUAAUUCGGCCCAUCCCUUCGUUUCCCAUAAGGGAUACUUUUAGUUAAUUUAAUAUCUAUAGAAACAAUGCUAAUGACUGGUUUGCUGUUAAUAAACACGUGGGUAAAUCUCUGUUCAGGGCUUACGGCUCUGAAGGCUGUGAGACCCCUGAUUUCCCACUUCACACCUCU
Molecule: long non-coding RNA, 1857 nt
Organism: Gorilla gorilla gorilla (western lowland gorilla)
Lineage: Eukaryota; Metazoa; Chordata; Mammalia; Primates; Hominidae
Exons: 3
Source: RefSeq, a predicted model, not a curated record